RNAcentral lists this transfer RNA (76 nucleotides) under Zoogloea ramigera. RNAcentral describes it as "tRNA-Lys". It matches the Rfam family "tRNA". From Rfam's summary of the family: Transfer RNA (tRNA) molecules are approximately 80 nucleotides in length. Their secondary structure includes four short double-helical elements and three loops (D, anti-codon, and T loops). Further hydrogen bonds mediate the characteristic L-shaped molecular structure. tRNAs have two regions of fundamental functional importance: the anti-codon, which is responsible for specific mRNA codon recognition, and the 3' end, to which the tRNAs corresponding amino acid is attached (by aminoacyl-tRNA synthetases). tRNAs cope with the degeneracy of the genetic code in two manners: having more than one tRNA (with a specific anti-codon) for a particular amino acid; and 'wobble' base-pairing, i.e. permitting non-standard base-pairing at the 3rd anti-codon position. Lineage: Bacteria; Pseudomonadati; Pseudomonadota; Betaproteobacteria; Rhodocyclales; Zoogloeaceae. RNAcentral also lists the same sequence under 66 other names. The record is from RNAcentral.
GGGUUGUUAGCUCAGUUGGUAGAGCAGCGGACUCUUAAUCCGUAGGUCGAGUGUUCGAGCCACUCACAACCCACCA